UCCUGCCCAGUGACAUAGUUCAACGGCCGCGGUAUCCUAACCGUGCAAAGGUAGCAUAAUCACUUGCCCAUUAAUUGUGGGCUAGAAUGAAAGGACCAACGAAAUAAAGACUGUCUCUAUAAGUUCAAUAAAAAUUAUUCUCUAACUGAAGAGUGUUAGAUUAGAUCGAAGGACAAGAAGACCCUAUAGAGCUUCAUUUUAAUAAAGACACACAACUUACUAAAAAUUCGGUUGGGGCGACCAAGGAUAAGUAAAUCAUCCUUCAUAAAAAGAUAUAUUAAUCCAUAAAUGACCCUUAAAAAAGAGCAUGAAAUCAAGCUACCUUAGGGAUAACAGGCUAAUCCUGCUAGAGAGUCCUUAUCAACAGCAGGGGUUGGCACCUCGAUGUUGGCUUAGGGAAACUAUACGACGCAAAAGUCCUAUAAAGAUGGUUUGUUCAACCAAUAAUACCCUACAUGAGCUGAGUUCAGACCGGCGUAAGCCAGGUUAGUUUCUAUCCACGAUACAGACCACCUGUCUAUAGUACGAAAGGACCUAGACAAGGAUAAUUAUUAUAAAAUAAGAAUAAAUAUAAAAAAUAUUAAACCUAAAACACUAUAUACUAUAAAGUGUGUUGGCAGAAUAGUGCCACCGACUUAGGAUCGGUUCAUGGGUAACCCCACUCACUACCUGCAACUUAGUUUAUUUAGAACAUUCAACUUGCACUUGAUAGGAGAGAGUCCUCAGUAGCGGCUUGACGUUUAGGAAACAGUAGACCUUGAACGUCUACAUAGGGUGUUCAAUUCAUC
RNAcentral lists this unclassified non-coding RNA (788 nucleotides) under Xana omodeoi. RNAcentral describes it as "partial contains 16S ribosomal RNA, tRNA-Leu, tRNA-Ala, and tRNA-Ser". The stretch from base 1 to 521 matches the Rfam family "Bacterial large subunit ribosomal RNA", at positions 1857 to 2925 of the family's 2925-position model. The record is from RNAcentral. Lineage: Eukaryota; Metazoa; Annelida; Clitellata; Crassiclitellata; Hormogastridae.